CGCACCGGGACAGCUCGGGAAACCCGUGGUUAAUACCGGAUACUCCCGCACCCCCGCAUGGGGGCGCGGGGAAAGCCCAGACGGCGAGGGAUGGGCCCGCGGCCUGUUAGCUCGUUGGCGGGGUAACGGCCCACCAAGGCGAUGAUGGGUAGCCGGGUUGAGAGACCGACCGGCCAGAUUGGGACUGAGACACGGCCCAGACUCCUACGGGAGGCAGCAGUGGGGAAUCUUGCGCAAUGGGCGGAAGCCUGACGCAGCGACGCCGCGUGCGGGAAGGAGGCCUUCGGGUCGUAAACCGCUUUCAGCAGGGACGAGGCCGCGAGGGACGUACCUGCAGAAGAGCCCCG
This 347-nucleotide ribosomal RNA is filed under the name Olsenella uli. RNAcentral describes it as "bacterial SSU rRNA". It matches the Rfam family "Bacterial small subunit ribosomal RNA", at positions 134 to 495 of the family's 1533-position model. Lineage: Bacteria; Bacillati; Actinomycetota; Coriobacteriia; Coriobacteriales; Atopobiaceae. The record is from RNAcentral.